Molecule: transfer RNA, 72 nt
Filed under: Candidatus Bathyarchaeota archaeon
Lineage: Archaea; Thermoproteati; Candidatus Bathyarchaeota
Description: tRNA-Met
Source: RNAcentral
GCCGGGGUAGCCUAGCCUGGUUUGGGCGCCAGACUCAUAAUCUGGAGAGCAAAAAAUAAUGGGGCCACGCCC